Molecule: ribosomal RNA, 292 nt
Filed under: uncultured bacterium
Lineage: Bacteria
Description: partial 16S ribosomal RNA
Rfam family: Archaeal small subunit ribosomal RNA
Source: RNAcentral
GUGCCAGCCGCCGCGGUAAUACCGGCAGUCCAAGUGAUGGCCGAUAUUAUUGGGCCUAAAGCGUCCGUAGCCUGCUGUGUAAGUCCAUUGGGAAAUCGACGCGCUCAACGCGUCGGCGUCCGGUGGAAACUACACAGCUUGGGGCCGAGAGACUUGACGGGUACGUCCGGGGUAGGAGUGAAAUCCCAUAAUCCCGCACGGACCACCGAUGGCGAAAGCACUUCGAGAAAACGGAUCCGACAGUGAGGGACGAAAGCCAGGGUCUCCAACCGGAUUAGAAACCCCGGUGUCC